AAGUUUGGUCUUAAACCUCCUAUUACCUCACCCCCUAAUUAUACAUGCAAGCCUCCCCACAACAGUGAAAAAACCCACACAAAUUCAACCACGGAGUUGGUAUCAGGCAUACGCCCAUCACACCAAGCAACACAGCCACACCCCCACGGGCCAGCAGCAGUAUCCAAUAUUAGGCCAUAAGCAUACCUUAUUUUAAAGCUUGACCUAGUAAGGGGGCCCCAGGGCCGGUUAAUCUCGUGCCAGCGACCGCGGUUACACGACAGACCCAAGAUAAUAGCACCGGCGUAAAGAACGACUAGAUUGUAGUACCACAUGUUAGGAAAAAGCCAGACUAGGCCGUAAAAAGCCAUAAGCUUCAUUAACUCACUCACCUAAUAUAUUAAACCACUUCGACUCGUGAAAAUAGGAAUACAAACUAAGAUUAGAUACCUUACUAUGCCUGACUUAACACACAUGAAAUCACCAACUGUUCGCCAAACAACUACGAGUUAAAACUUAAAACUUAAAAGACUUGACGGUACUUCACACCACCCUAGAGGAGCCUGUCUAAUAACCGAUACUCCACGAUUAACCCAACCCACCCUAGCCCAACAGUCUAUAUACCGCCAUCGCCAGCUUACCUUGUGAGAGAAACAAAGUGAACACAACAGCCACCACUAACACGAUAGGUCGAGGUGUAACUAAUGGGUGGGAAAAAGAUGGGCUACAUUUUCUAACACAGAAAACACGAAUAGAUCUACGAAAAUAGAAACCGAAGGCGGAUUUAGCAGUAUGUUAAGGACAAAAUGCUUAACCGAAAUAAAUGCAAUGAAGUGCGUACACACCGCCCGUCAUCCCUGUAUAAACCCACUAAAACUACAUAAACACAACAAACCCACCAAACAGGGCAAGUCGUAACAUGGUAAGCGUACUGGAAAGUGCGCUUA
RNAcentral lists this non-coding RNA (926 nucleotides) under Nerodia sipedon. The record is from RNAcentral. Lineage: Eukaryota; Metazoa; Chordata; Lepidosauria; Squamata; Natricidae.